CCGGCAAUCCACCACCUCGCAGCACGACGCAAGCGGCUCCCCCAUGCACGACGACCUCCCACCGCCACGCCACCUCCCUCCCCUGCGCUGCCGCCGCGCCAUCCCUGCACUGGGUCGCCGCCCCCGCCAAGCCACCUACAUCCGCCGGCCACGCCCCGUCAAGCAACAGCCGGAUCCGACGAGAACCGGCUCUACCUCCCUGUCUCCCCCUCCUCAAAACAUGUGCCGCACCUCUCCAGGCCACCGCCGCCGGAUUCAUGACGGGGCGCCGCCUUGCAACCCCGCCUCGGCCUCCCACUACCACCACCUUCACCUUCUCCUCCCGGCCGCCGCUGGCGCUCAGGGCUGCCUCCCAGCCCAACCACCAAUGGAUCCGACGGGAUCCUCAUCGUCAACCACCCAGUACCCCACAACCACCCAGAUCUACGCCACCAUGGCUGCAUGCCUUCUCCUUCUCCCCUCAACCCCCCUCCCCGGGUGAGCCCACUAGCCUUCGGAGCCCCGCCAGGCGCCGGAUCCCGACAGCUACUCCCGAGUCCACACACCCCCUCUACUUCAGUGGCUGCAUGAGAUAGAAUUUGGUCACCCGGGACGGGAUUCGCCCGCUGUGGAUGAGAUUCAGCGGAGGCAUCGCUCCCGCAUCCAUAGAAAAGCCAACGAGACGGGUCAAUGGGAUUCACCGCCGGCCCCAUGUGGGACGACGACCAUGGCCCUAGGAUGAUGACGCCGAAAAUGUGGCGUGCAGCUCAUUGCGGCCCACUGUGAAGCUCACCUCGGCUCAGCCUGCAGUUCGGGGCCGCCACGACAGGCCCCGUUGUUGUUCUCCUCGGCGUACAGCGGCGGCGCCCGCAACAUCUCCCCUUCGACAAACGGCGUUUUGGUUGCAGUCCCACGGGCAUAUAGGUGCAGUACUGUGGGGAUUGGACAUGCAGUGCGCAAGCAG
Long non-coding RNA from Triticum dicoccoides, 943 nucleotides. RefSeq lists it as uncharacterized. The transcript has 2 exons. NCBI's taxonomy places the organism in Eukaryota, Viridiplantae, Streptophyta, Magnoliopsida, Poales, Poaceae. The record is from RefSeq and is a predicted model, not a curated record.